RNAcentral lists this ribosomal RNA (2929 nucleotides) under Citrobacter freundii. Its description in RNAcentral is "23S ribosomal RNA". It matches the Rfam family "Bacterial large subunit ribosomal RNA". The record is from RNAcentral. Lineage: Bacteria; Pseudomonadati; Pseudomonadota; Gammaproteobacteria; Enterobacterales; Enterobacteriaceae.
GGGUUGUGAGGUUAAGCGACUAAGCGUACACGGUGGAUGCCCUGGCAGUCAGAGGCGAUGAAGGACGUGCUAAUCUGCGAUAAGCGUCGGUAAGGUGAUAUGAACCGUUAUAACCGGCGAUUUCCGAAUGGGGAAACCCAGUGUGAUUCGUCACACUAUCAUUACGUGAAUACAUAGCGUAAUGAAGCGAACCGGGGGAACUGAAACAUCUAAGUACCCCGAGGAAAAGAAAUCAACCGAGAUUCCCCCAGUAGCGGCGAGCGAACGGGGAGCAGCCCAGAGUCUGAAUCAGCUUGUGUGUUAGUGGAACGGUCUGGAAAGUCCGACGGUACAGGGUGAUAGUCCCGUACACCAAAAUGCACAGGUUGUGAACUCGAAGAGUAGGGCGGGACACGUGGUAUCCUGUCUGAAUAUGGGGGGACCAUCCUCCAAGGCUAAAUACUCCUGACUGACCGAUAGUGAACCAGUACCGUGAGGGAAAGGCGAAAAGAACCCCGGCGAGGGGAGUGAAAAAGAACCUGAAACCGUGUACGUACAAGCAGUGGGAGCAUCCUUUUGGGUGUGACUGCGUACCUUUUGUAUAAUGGGUCAGCGACUUAUAUUCUGUAGCAAGGUUAACCGUAUAGGGGAGCCGAAGGGAAACCGAGUCUUAACUGGGCGUUAAGUUGCAGGGUAUAGACCCGAAACCCGGUGAUCUAGCCAUGGGCAGGUUGAAGGUUGGGUAACACUAACUGGAGGACCGAACCGACUAAUGUUGAAAAAUUAGCGGAUGACUUGUGGCUGGGGGUGAAAGGCCAAUCAAACCGGGAGAUAGCUGGUUCUCCCCGAAAGCUAUUUAGGUAGCGCCUCGUGAACUCAUCUUCGGGGGUAGAGCACUGUUUCGGCUAGGGGGUCAUCCCGACUUACCAACCCGAUGCAAACUGCGAAUACCGAAGAAUGUUAUCACGGGAGACACACGGCGGGUGCUAACGUCCGUCGUGAAGAGGGAAACAACCCAGACCGCCAGCUAAGGUCCCAAAGUCAUGGUUAAGUGGGAAACGAUGUGGGAAGGCACAGACAGCCAGGAUGUUGGCUUAGAAGCAGCCAUCAUUUAAAGAAAGCGUAAUAGCUCACUGGUCGAGUCGGCCUGCGCGGAAGAUGUAACGGGGCUAAACCAUGCACCGAAGCUGCGGCAGCGACACUAUGUGUUGUUGGGUAGGGGAGCGUUCUGUAAGCCGUUGAAGGUGUAUCGUGAGGUAUGCUGGAGGUAUCAGAAGUGCGAAUGCUGACAUAAGUAACGAUAAUGCGGGUGAAAAACCCGCACGCCGGAAGACCAAGGGUUCCUGUCCAACGUUAAUCGGGGCAGGGUGAGUCGACCCCUAAGGCGAGGCCGAAAGGCGUAGUCGAUGGGAAACAGGUUAAUAUUCCUGUACUUGGUGUUACUGCGAAGGGGGGACGGAGAAGGCUAUGUUAGCCGGGCGACGGUUGUCCCGGUUUAAGCAUGUAGGCGGAGGUUCCAGGUAAAUCCGGUACCUUUUUAACGCUGAGGUGUGAUGACGAGGCACUACGGUGCUGAAGUAACAAAUGCCCUGCUUCCAGGAAAAGCCUCUAAGCAUCAGGUAACACGAAAUCGUACCCCAAACCGACACAGGUGGUCAGGUAGAGAAUACCAAGGCGCUUGAGAGAACUCGGGUGAAGGAACUAGGCAAAAUGGUGCCGUAACUUCGGGAGAAGGCACGCUGAUAUGUAGGUGAAGUGAUUUACUCAUGGAGCUGAAAUCAGUCGAAGAUACCAGCUGGCUGCAACUGUUUAUUAAAAACACAGCACUGUGCAAACACGAAAGUGGACGUAUACGGUGUGACGCCUGCCCGGUGCCGGAAGGUUAAUUGAUGGGGUUAUCCGUAAGGAGAAGCUCUUGAUCGAAGCCCCGGUAAACGGCGGCCGUAACUAUAACGGUCCUAAGGUAGCGAAAUUCCUUGUCGGGUAAGUUCCGACCUGCACGAAUGGCGUAAUGAUGGCCAGGCUGUCUCCACCCGAGACUCAGUGAAAUUGAACUCGCUGUGAAGAUGCAGUGUACCCGCGGCAAGACGGAAAGACCCCGUGAACCUUUACUAUAGCUUGACACUGAACACUGGUCCUUGAUGUGUAGGAUAGGUGGGAGGCUUUGAAGUGUGGACGCCAGUCUGCAUGGAGCCAUCCUUGAAAUACCACCCUUUAAUGGCUGGUGUUCUAACGUGGACCCGUUACCCGGGUUGCGGACAGUGUCUGGUGGGUAGUUUGACUGGGGCGGUCUCCUCCUAAAGAGUAACGGAGGAGCACGAAGGUUAGCUAAUCCUGGUCGGACAUCAGGAGGUUAGUGCAAAGGCAUAAGCUAGCUUGACUGCGAGAGUGACGGCUCGAGCAGGUGCGAAAGCAGGUCUUAGUGAUCCGGUGGUUCUGAAUGGAAGGGCCAUCGCUCAACGGAUAAAAGGUACUCCGGGGAUAACAGGCUGAUACCGCCCAAGAGUUCAUAUCGACGGCGGUGUUUGGCACCUCGAUGUCGGCUCAUCACAUCCUGGGGCUGAAGUAGGUCCCAAGGGUAUGGCUGUUCGCCAUUUAAAGUGGUACGCGAGCUGGGUUUAGAACGUCGUGAGACAGUUCGGUCCCUAUCUGCCGUGGGCGCUGGAGAAUUGAGGGGGGCUGCUCCUAGUACGAGAGGACCGGAGUGGACGCAUCACUGGUGUUCGGGUUGUCAUGCCAAUGGCAUUGCCCGGUAGCUAAAUGCGGAAGAGAUAAGUGCUGAAAGCAUCUAAGCACGAAACUUGCCCCGAGAUGAGUUCUCCCUGAGACUUUAAGUCUCCUGAAGGAACGUUGAAGACGACGACGUUGAUAGGUCGGGUGUGUAAGUGUAGCGAUACAUUGAGCUAACCGAUACUAAUGAACCGUGAGGCUUAACCUUACAACGCCGAAG